GCACAAGCGGUGGAUGAUGUGGAUUAAUUCGAUGCAACGCGAAAACCUUACCCACCUUUGACAUGUACGGAAUCCUUUAGAGAUAGAGGAGUGCUCGAAAGAGAGCCGUAACACAGGUGCUGCAUGGCUGUCGUCAGCUCGUGUCGUGAGAUGUUGGGUUAAGUCCCGCAACGAGCGCAACCCUUGUCAUUAGUUGCUACAUUCAGUUGGGCACUCUAAUGAGACUGCCGGUGACAAACCGGAGGAAGGUGGGGAUGACGUCAAGUCCUCAUGGCCCUUAUAGGUGGGGCUACACACGUCAUACAAUGGAUGGUACAAAGGGUCGCCAACCCGCGAGGGGGAGCCAAUCCCAUAAAGCCAUUCGUAGUCCGGAUCGCAGUCUGCAACUCGACUGCGUGAAGUCAAAAUCACUAAUAAUCGUGGAUCAGAAUGUCACGGUGAAUACGUUCCCGGGUCUU
RNAcentral lists this ribosomal RNA (458 nucleotides) under uncultured Acidovorax sp. RNAcentral describes it as "bacterial SSU rRNA". It matches the Rfam family "Bacterial small subunit ribosomal RNA", at positions 923 to 1382 of the family's 1533-position model. Lineage: Bacteria; Pseudomonadati; Pseudomonadota; Betaproteobacteria; Burkholderiales; Comamonadaceae. The record is from RNAcentral.